UUUGGUAAUUAAGAAAGCAUGUUGCAUAAUUGCGCAAUUAUACAUAAAAUUGGUGUCUCUUUGAUAAAAAUUAUAAAAUAUAUUGAUAUAUAUAUAAAACCUCCAUUCUUCUUUCUCAGUCUCUGUUAUCUGCUGAUCCAACAACUUCUCCAAACCCUAAAUUGAAGAAGAAAUAUUGGGUUUACUUGGUUGAAAUGAUGGGGAGUAAAGAAGGGUCUGUGAUGGUGAAGAAUUCCAAUGUAUUUGCGGCGCUUGAUACUCUGAGGAAGAAGAAGAAAUCUGAUAAGGAGAAGAGUAAAGGGUCGUCGAAGAAGGAACAGGAGCCGGAAGUUUUGUGGGCUCCGGCGCCGUNNNNN
This 356-nucleotide long non-coding RNA is filed under the name Solanum tuberosum (potato). RNAcentral describes it as "long non-coding RNA (STUB_LNC000991)". Lineage: Eukaryota; Viridiplantae; Streptophyta; Magnoliopsida; Solanales; Solanaceae. The record is from RNAcentral.